UCGCUCUCUCUCUUUCUCUGUAGCGACCUCCUUGCUCUUCUCCAGCGGUGAAGACGUCGGUGAUGCUGUUUGGACGAGGAGGCAGGCCAGGCUUCUCUCUCUCCUCCCCAAUUUUAACGAGAAAGCUCCCCUUCUGUUUCUCUGCUGCUCUAAUUUGAGCACCACCGCCUUCACGUCGUUGUCUCCGCCUCCGAUUCCGGCGACCACCGGCACGACGCUAUCAGACCUUGCACCGCCAUCUUCAUCUUCGAUUUUCCAGAAAAUAAAGGUGAUCAAAAAAUUACAAACCGGACGAAAACGUUGGGAAGUCUGCGGCUGCAGUCCGAUCGCUAUUUGAUGAUCGGGAUCGGAGGGGUGAAAGGAGAAUCGCAACGAUGAUAAAGUUUCACGGCAAGGCGAGGCAGCCCAGGCAUCGAUGACAUCGUCUAGGGCUCAGUUGUCGACUCCUUCGCUCAUUCUUUCAUUCUCCACUAAUGCUCGCCGGAUUUCAUUCUCGGCCGCUUUCGAUGGAUGGCAACAGUACUAAUAACGACUGUGGAUGGCAGAAGGUGACCUAUGCAACGGGCCAGAGGAAGAACAAGGUCACGGAUUCCAUCAACAAUCCUAAUAGGCUCAUUCCGGCGCUGUGAUCUCCGGCGGAGCGUGUUUUCCGAGGUGUGGAGAAUGAGGUGGAGGAGCGAGUUCGGAGGCGGUAGGAAGCUGAUAAGGCGGAGACGGUAUUUUUGAUUUUUCCAUCAUUUUACAAUUGAAUUCUUCCCCUUUGCAUUUGUAGAGUAGAUUUCGAAAAUCAUAUGAAUUUGGAUAUUGAAGCCUCCAUUGACCAAGAGAUCAUUCAGCUAACUAAGAAAUGUUGACAUGAAGUCUCGUGCUGAAGGUGGCAAAAUUAUGUCUAUGGGUUUAGAGUGUCAGCAUUGAAAAAUGACAGUAGCAUUACAACAUUGACAGUAGCUUUAUUCAACUAUUGUAAUAAAUUUUCAUAACUAUGGUAGUGACUUUUUACAAUUAUGAAAGUAGUUUUUUACAUAAUUAUAUCAUUGUUGAACCCUGUAUACUUUUUGUUUCAUCUAAUAUGUUUUAUUUUCUCGA
Molecule: long non-coding RNA, 1086 nt
Organism: Rosa rugosa (rugosa rose)
Lineage: Eukaryota; Viridiplantae; Streptophyta; Magnoliopsida; Rosales; Rosaceae
Exons: 2
Source: RefSeq, a predicted model, not a curated record